GACGAACGCUGGCGGCGUGCCUAAUACAUGCAAGUAGAACGCACAGUUUAUACCGUAGCUUGCUACACCAUAAACUGUGAGUUGCGAACGGGUGAGUAACGCGUAGGUAACCUGCCUGGUAGCGGGGGAUAACUAUUGGUAACGAUAGCUAAUACCGCAUAAUAUUGAUUAUUGCAUGAUAAUUGAUUGAAAGAUGCUAUUGCAUCACUACCAGAUGGACCUGCGUUGUAUUAGCUAGUAGGUGAGGUAACGGCUCACCUAGGCGACGAUACAUAGCCGACCUGAGAGGGUGAUCGGCCACACUGGGACUGAGACACGGCCCAGACUCCUACGGGAGGCAGCAGUAGGGAAUCUUCGGCAAUGGACGAAAGUCUGACCGAGCAACGCCGCGUGAGUGAAGAAGGUUUUCGGAUCGUAAAGCUCUGUUGUAAGAGAAGAACGGGUGUGAGAGUGGAAAGUUCACACUGUGACGGUAUCUUACCAGAAAGGGACGGCUAACUACGUG
Molecule: ribosomal RNA, 505 nt
Filed under: uncultured bacterium
Lineage: Bacteria
Description: partial 16S ribosomal RNA
Rfam family: Bacterial small subunit ribosomal RNA
Source: RNAcentral